Molecule: long non-coding RNA, 703 nt
Filed under: Homo sapiens (human)
Lineage: Eukaryota; Metazoa; Chordata; Mammalia; Primates; Hominidae
Description: non-protein coding lnc-CDYL-8:1
Source: RNAcentral
CAGCAGGGAUUGGGGGGGCCAGCUGCCAGCCCUCUUGGCUGGUCCUGGCCUCCCUUCCUCCCACAGUUCCGUCUCUGCUGUUGUCUCCAACAGGCAGGGUCUGAUCUGCCCCCACCCCACGAGACGGUGACUGUGCUCCCGGGGCCCGACCCUGUGGAGACUCAGCUUUCCUCCCAUUCUCUGGCCAGGGAGCUCCACGGUCCAUCUGUGGACAGCUCUCUCAUACCACUGCACUCCAGCCUGGGAAACAGAGAGAUCCCUUCUCUACCAAAAAUAAAAAAAAAUUUUAAUGACCCCAGAACUCUGAGUUCAUAAUUGAAUGCCAAUAAAAUCUCAGCCAUGAAUGGAACAGAUGCCUGCAAACAUUUUUAUUAUUAAAAUAAUGCCUUCCUUGUAUGAACAUCUCAUAAUUGAGGGUCAAAUAUAAGCAAAAAGCAGACUCAAAGCCAGCCAUCCCUGGUUGACUUGUUGACAAAAUAAUUCACAGACAGUUCCCAGGCCCUCGGCCACAUGGGAGCAAACCAAGAGAAGGACAGGCAGAAGAGGAGACAGCCACGCAGACCACCAAGCUGGGGACUCAGACCCCAUCGGGGUUCACCCACUGUGCUCUGGCCUCAGUUUCUCUUUCUGUGUGGACUUCACCCAGCCAAUCCACUUUCUCACUGGGGUGGGUUCAUGGGAGCAGCUCUGAUUCACAUCUUUA